This 26-nucleotide non-coding RNA is filed under the name Rattus norvegicus (Norway rat). Lineage: Eukaryota; Metazoa; Chordata; Mammalia; Rodentia; Muridae. The record is from RNAcentral.
UGCGAUUGCUGAACCGCUGGGUGUCC